Molecule: long non-coding RNA, 341 nt
Filed under: Olea europaea (common olive)
Lineage: Eukaryota; Viridiplantae; Streptophyta; Magnoliopsida; Lamiales; Oleaceae
Description: long non-coding RNA (OEUR_LNC009164)
Source: RNAcentral
UGAAGUUCAGGAUCCGAGACAGCAGCUUCAUCCAAGCCAGAAUUCUUACUCCCUUGCGCAUCAACUGCAGAAUCCAGCACAACUUGACUUUGGGACUGAGGUGCAGGAUCCGAGACAACAGCUUCAUCCAAGCUAGCAUCCUUACUCCCUUGAGCAUCAACCAUAGAAUCUAGAACAAAUUGACUCUUGGACUGAGAUUCAGGAUCCAAGACAACAGCUUCAUCCAAGCUAGAAUUCUUACUCCCUAUAGCAUCAACUGCAGAAUCUAGAACAACUUGACUCUGGGACUGAGGUUCAGGACCCAAAACAACAGCUUCACCCAAACCAGUAUUCUUAUUCCC